AGAAACAGGACUGAAUAAAUGUGUG
This 25-nucleotide non-coding RNA is filed under the name Mus musculus (house mouse). Lineage: Eukaryota; Metazoa; Chordata; Mammalia; Rodentia; Muridae. The record is from RNAcentral.